CCGAACGCUGGGCUGAGGCAGGGAGAGUCAGGCAAAUUAUACUUCUUUAUACUGCAUUCGCUCCUAAUUUAAAGGCAGCAUGUGUGGAGAAACAUUCCGACUUUGGCGAACCCAAGUGGUAAUGCAUGCCGCAAAUCUUUAACAAUCUGCUUUGGUAAGAAUCAUGUAAAGGAGGAUUCUCUCUCUAAAACUGCAUUUGACCAGCUACUCACAGCAUUCGAUGGGCACGGAGGCAACCUGCAGAGCCAGGACUCGGCCAGGCGGGGCCACAGGGGGCGCUAGAGGGAGGUGAAUACGAAACACCAAACGUACACGUGUGUUCUUCCGUCCAACGUCUGUUUCUCCUUUCCUCAGCUCAAUGUCCGAGUUCCUCAGCUUCAGGAUCCCAGCACAGUCGAUGCUACGACACAAGGUUCAGGGGGAUGUCCAGCAGUUUGGUCCCCGCCUGGACGCUCUCAUGACUCGUCGUACCCACCAUUUUCCCUGUCACCCUAAGACGGGAGAAACAUUUAAAGUUUUUGUGCUGAAUCAAAGACUGGUGCUCGGUCCAAGGUGUACCCGUGCCUCCUUUCACGUACUUGCAGCACCCCACAAUCCUGAACAGGACCAACUGGUACAGAUUAACAACAAUCAAUUCUGAUAAUUGAUUAAUCAUUUAAGUACUUUUUUUUACUGUUUUAUGUGAUUGUGAAUUUGAAUGGAAGUAAAAUGUCCUGAUUUCUAAAACACA
Molecule: long non-coding RNA, 730 nt
Organism: Micropterus dolomieu (smallmouth bass)
Lineage: Eukaryota; Metazoa; Chordata; Actinopteri; Centrarchiformes; Centrarchidae
Exons: 2
Source: RefSeq, a predicted model, not a curated record